AAUGGCGCCACUAGGGUUGUG
This 21-nucleotide non-coding RNA is filed under the name Dasypus novemcinctus (nine-banded armadillo). Its record names the gene dno-miR-652-3p. Lineage: Eukaryota; Metazoa; Chordata; Mammalia; Cingulata; Dasypodidae. RNAcentral also lists the same sequence under 19 other names. The record is from miRBase by way of RNAcentral.